GAUAAACGCUGGCGGCGCACAUAAGACAUGCAAGUCGAACGGACUUAACUCAUUCUUUUAGAUUGAGAGCGGUUAGUGGCGGACUGGUGAGUAACACGUAAGCAACCUGCCUAUUAGAGGGGAAUAACAGUGAGAAAUCAUUGCUAAUACCGCAUAUGCUAACAGUAUCGCAUGAUACAGUUAGGAAAGGAGCAAUCCGCUAAUAGAUGGGCUUGCGUCUGAUUAGCUAGUUGGUGGGGUAACGGCCUACCAAGGCGACGAUCAGUAGCCGGACUGAGAGGUUGACCGGCCACAUUGGGACUGAGACACGGCCCAG
Molecule: ribosomal RNA, 316 nt
Filed under: uncultured bacterium
Lineage: Bacteria
Description: bacterial SSU rRNA
Rfam family: Bacterial small subunit ribosomal RNA
Source: RNAcentral